GUGCUCGCUUCGGCAGCACAUAUACUAAAAUUGGAAUGAUACAGAGAAGAUUAGCAUGGCCCCGGCACAAGGAUAACACACAAAUUUAUGAAGCAUUCCAUAUAUAU
Molecule: small nuclear RNA, 107 nt
Filed under: Aotus nancymaae (Ma's night monkey)
Lineage: Eukaryota; Metazoa; Chordata; Mammalia; Primates; Aotidae
Source: RNAcentral